Long non-coding RNA from Topomyia yanbarensis, 753 nucleotides. RefSeq lists it as uncharacterized. The record is from RefSeq and is a predicted model, not a curated record. Lineage: Eukaryota; Metazoa; Arthropoda; Insecta; Diptera; Culicidae. The transcript is spliced from 2 exons.
UCGGUACUGUGUUUGUUCUCGUAGUCGUCCGUCGUUUCGUUUUAAACCAAAUAAUUCGCGGGAUAAUAUCGAAUAUUAUAACUGUUCUGUUUAUUUGAUGUCUUCAAUCAAUUGAAGGAAAAUGGAUCAAUUCAAGAACAAUGUUGCAAACUUAUACAUCAAAAAUUUGGACAGUUCCGUAGAUGAUCUUCAGCUAUUUGAAGAGUUUUCCAAGUUUGGGCCAAUAACUUCCGCUAGGGUGAUGCGCGAUGAUAAUGGCCGUUCCAAAGGUUUCGGUUUUGUAUGCUUCACUACUGUGCUUGCCGCAAGUAGAGCUAUAUUUGAGAUGAAUGGUCGAAUUUUCGCCGGGAAGCCUUUAUAUGUUGCGCUUGCUCAGCCCAAAGAAGUACGCAAACAGUUUUUGGAAAAACAGUUCAGCAAGGCACUCGAAAAGUUUCCAGAAAUUGAUGAUACUGAUUUUCUUCAACGUUAACGGUUCCCCAAAGACGGUAAUGGCGACAAUGAGUCGGUCAUAAUCGUUAUAAUUGACGCAUUGAUUGACACGAUUGUUGUGCGUGUCAAUAUGAAUGAAACCAAGGAAGUUUGUUUUAUGUUGUGUGUAUCAAAACAUGUUUGAAAAGAAGGAAAUUCAUAACAGUUCGCUCGAACUAAAAACAUCUAAAAUAACGGAUAUGGGCAAUCUUGAGAAAGAUUUCGAUGUACAUAUAAUACAAUUUGUUAACACUUCAAUGAAUAAGAUGUGUUAUUUUUAAA